RNAcentral lists this ribosomal RNA (777 nucleotides) under uncultured bacterium. Its description in RNAcentral is "bacterial SSU rRNA". It matches the Rfam family "Bacterial small subunit ribosomal RNA", at positions 8 to 831 of the family's 1533-position model. The record is from RNAcentral.
AGAGUUUGAUCCUGGCUCAGAACGAACGCUGGCGGCAGGCCUAACACAUGCAAGUCGAGCGAGACCUUCGGGUCUAGCGGCGGACGGGUUAGUAACGCGUGGGAACGUACCCUUUUCUACGGAAUAGCCUUUGGGAACGAAGAGUAAUACCGUAUACGCCCUUCGGGGGAAAGAUUUAUCGGAGAAGGAUCGGCCCGCGUUAGAUUAGAUAGUUGGUGGGGUAAUGGCCUACCAAGUCUACGAUCUAUAGCUGGUUUUAGAGGAUGAUCAGCAACACUGGGACUGAGACACGGCCCAGACUCCUACGGGAGGCAGCAGUGGGGAAUCUUAGACAAUGGGCGCAAGCCUGAUCUAGCCAUGCCGCGUGAGUGAAGAAGGCCUUAGGGUCGUAAAGCUCUUUCGCCAGGGAUGAUAAUGACAGUACCUGGUAAAGAAACCCCGGCUAACUCCGUGCCAGCAGCCGCGGUAAUACGGAGGGGGUUAGCGUUGUUCGGAAUUACUGGGCGUAAAGCGCACGUAGGCGGAUUAGAAAGUUAGAGGUGAAAUCCCAGGGCUCAACCCUGGAACUGCCUUUAAAACUCCUAGUCUCGAGUUCGAGAGAGGUGAGUGGAAUUCCAAGUGUAGAGGUGAAAUUCGUAGAUAUUUGGAGGAACACCAGUGGCGAAGGCGGCUCACUGGCUCGAUACUGACGCUGAGGUGCGAAAGUGUGGGGAGCAAACAGGAUUAGAUACCCUGGUAGUCCACACCGUAAACGAUGAAUGCCAGUCGUCCGGGUAG